GUGCUCGCUUCGGCAGCACAUAUACUAAAAUUCGAACGAUACAGAGAAGAUUAGCAUGGCCCCUGCACAAGGAUGACACGCCAAUUCGUGAAGCGUUCCAUAUUUUU
Molecule: small nuclear RNA, 107 nt
Filed under: Tupaia belangeri (northern tree shrew)
Lineage: Eukaryota; Metazoa; Chordata; Mammalia; Scandentia; Tupaiidae
Source: RNAcentral